CCUACGGGAGGCAGCAGUGGGGAAUUUUGGACAAUGGGCGCAAGCCUGAUCCAGCAAUGCCGCGUGCAGGAUGAAGGCCUUCGGGUUGUAAACUGCUUUUGUACGGAACGAAACGGCGAGCUCUAAUAAAGUUCGCUAAUGACGGUACCGUAAGAAUAAGCACCGGCUAACUACGUGCCAGCAGCCGCGGUAAUACGUAGGGUGCAAGCGUUAAUCGGAAUUACUGGGCGUAAAGCGUGCGCAGGCGGUGAUGUAAGACAGAUGUGAAAUCCCCGGGCUCAACCUGGGACCUGCAUUUGUGACUGCAUCGCUAGAGUACGGUAGAGGGGGAUGGAAUUCCGCGUGUAGCAGUGAAAUGCGUAGAUAUGCGGAGGAACACCGAUGGCGAAGGCAAUCCCCGUGGACCUGUACUGACGCUCAUGCACGAAAGCGUGGGGAGCAAACAGGAUUAGAUACCCUGGUAGUCCACGCCCUAAACGAUGUCAACUGGUUGUUGGGUCUUCACUGACUCAGUAACGAGCUAACGCGUGAGUUGACCGCCGUGGGGAGUUCGGCGCAAGGUUGAAACUUCGAAAGGAUUGACGG
Molecule: ribosomal RNA, 585 nt
Filed under: uncultured bacterium
Lineage: Bacteria
Description: bacterial SSU rRNA
Rfam family: Bacterial small subunit ribosomal RNA
Source: RNAcentral